RNAcentral lists this ribosomal RNA (497 nucleotides) under uncultured bacterium. RNAcentral's name for it is "partial 16S ribosomal RNA". It matches the Rfam family "Bacterial small subunit ribosomal RNA", at positions 28 to 507 of the family's 1533-position model. The record is from RNAcentral.
GAUGAACGCUGGCGGCGUGCCUAAUACAUGCAAGUCGAGCGAACGGACGAGAAGCCUGCUUCUCUGAUGUUAGCGGCAGACGGGUGAGUAACACGUGGAUAACCUACCUAUAAGACUGGGAUAACUUCGGGAAACCGGAGCUAAUACCGGAUAAUAUUCUGAACCGCAUGGUUCAAAAGUGAAAGACGGUCUUGCUGUCACUUAUAGAUGGAUCCGCGCUGCAUUAGCUAGUUGGUAAGGUAACGGCUUACCAAGGCAACGAUGCAUAGCCGACCUGAGAGGGUGAUCAGCCACACUGGAACUGAGACACGGUCCAGACUCCUACGGGAGGCAGCAGUGGGGAAUCUUCCGCAAUGGGCGAAAGCCUGACGGAGCAACGCCGCGUGAGUGAUGAAGGUCUUCGGGUCGUAAAACUCUGUUAUUAGGGAAGAACAUAUGUGUAAGUAACUGUGCACAUCUUGACGUUACCUAAUCAGAAAGCCACGGCUAACUACGUG